RNAcentral lists this ribosomal RNA (433 nucleotides) under uncultured archaeon. RNAcentral describes it as "bacterial SSU rRNA". It matches the Rfam family "Archaeal small subunit ribosomal RNA", at positions 565 to 997 of the family's 1478-position model. The record is from RNAcentral.
AUUAGGCUUCGGGGGAUACUGCCAGACUUGGAACCGGGAGAGGUAAGAGGUACUACAGGGGUAGGAGUGAAAUCUUGUAAUCCCUGUGGGACCACCUGUGGCGAAGGCGUCUUACCAGAACGGGUUCGACAGUGAGGGACGAAAGCUGGGGGCACGAACCGGAUUAGAUACCCGGGUAGUCCCAGCCGUAAACGAUGCUCGCUAGGUGUCAGGCAUGGCGCGACCGUGUCUGGUGCCGCAGGGAAGCCGUGAAGCGAGCCACCUGGGAAGUACGGCCGCAAGGCUGAAACUUAAAGGAAUUGGCGGGGGAGCACAACAACGGGUGGAGCCCUGCGGUUUAAUUGGACUCAACGCCGGACAACUCACCGGGGGCGACAGCAAUAUGUAGGCCAAGCUGAAGACUUUGCCUGAAUCGCUGAGAAGUGGUGCAUGG